Molecule: long non-coding RNA, 549 nt
Filed under: Olea europaea (common olive)
Lineage: Eukaryota; Viridiplantae; Streptophyta; Magnoliopsida; Lamiales; Oleaceae
Description: long non-coding RNA (OEUR_LNC012461)
Source: RNAcentral
AAGAUCAGAACUUUCUCCCUGUUGAUAUCUGUCUAUUGUUGGAUAUACGUGUAUAUAGCGGACUGUUUGUACAUGUAUGUAUUUAUCUACUCAUAAUGGUGUUCUUCAAGAAGUGAUAGAUAAUUCAUUUUAGUUUUUACAACAAUUUUUGCUCUCCGGAGACCGAACGUUUCGUGUAAAAGGAUUUCCUAUUCUUUUCUUCUCAUAAAUUAAUAGUUUAAAAAUCCAUCCAAACAUUUAAUUCAAAAAAAUUAAUAAAAUGAAGGCCAAUCGAUGUUCGAGAAACUAACAAACUUUAUAUUUUCGAUCUAAUGUCUGGCUCUUUCGGUCAAACUGAUCCGUGAAAUCCGACUGACACGAGAAUAAAAAACGACUAAGACGAAAAUAAUUUAGAAGCAAGAAUUAAUAAAAAAAUAACAAAGAUGAACGAUAUUAAAUUAUAAUUAGGAUAAGAUUAAGAAAACCAUGGGAAGAAGCAAGGACGGUAGAGUGCUGGAGCAGGAAGGAAUGCCUUUCCAAGAGGAAAAGUAUACGCACCCAUCUUUAUAU